Molecule: ribosomal RNA, 609 nt
Filed under: Triticum aestivum (bread wheat)
Lineage: Eukaryota; Viridiplantae; Streptophyta; Magnoliopsida; Poales; Poaceae
Description: partial small subunit ribosomal RNA
Source: RNAcentral
AUGCCGUCGUGGCCCAACAGCAACGAGACCUCUAACGAUGAUGACGAGUAUAUGAGCGAGCUCAGUAGCAUGAAUAUGGAGUAUUUUCAAACUCCAUAUACUGUGAUAGAUCCAAGCUUUUCUGGGCUUGUGACUGAAUCUGACCGUAGGUGCAUCCUGCACAGGGAGAGGGCUGGCAAAUUUGUAGCAUUUGAAGGCACUGACACUGGCAGGAGAUUCAUAGGAUGUGCAACUGAGGAUGGUGUGAACUGUGGUGUUUUAGAGUGGGUAGAUGCCCCUUGGCCUGUGAUUUUGCAAAGGUGCUUAACAAAGCUCUGGGAUAUGUAUCAUGAGGAGAACCUUGGUAGAGUGCAAGACAAAGAGGCUCAUGAGAUAGUGGUUGAGAAACUGAAGAAGGAGCUGGAUUCUCUUGGCAAUCAGUACAGUCAGCUUGUGGAUGAUGUAUCCAAGCUGUUUGAUUACCAGGAUGGGCAGAAAUCCCAUGACAUGGAUUACACAAGCCAGACAAUCAAUGAACUUAAGGAGAAGAAGCAUCAGCUUGAGGAGCGGGCAAAGAUUGAGAUUCAAAUGGAGAAGCUUAAGCUCAAGAAAGAACAAAGUGGUAGCUAG